Molecule: long non-coding RNA, 562 nt
Organism: Pecten maximus
Lineage: Eukaryota; Metazoa; Mollusca; Bivalvia; Pectinida; Pectinidae
Exons: 2
Source: RefSeq, a predicted model, not a curated record
UAUAGUGUGACGUAAACACAUUAAUACGCCUGCGCGGAGAAUUUGAUGUGACUUUUCACAACAUAACGACGUUUCACAGUUUUCCCUUGCAUACCAGUGAUCUAUGAUGGAUAAAUUACUCUGUGCUAUGUGCCUGACCUUGUUCAUCGGCUUAUCUCUCUUCUCCAUCAAUGACAAUGGGUUCAUUCAAGCAGCCAAACCAGUCCGCAAACCGAACUGUCACUGCAACCGACCACCCUGCCAUCCUUGUGAAAAGAAAACUGUCAGGACAGGAAGAAGGUCAACUCGGUCCAACCCACGCAAUUAAUCACACCAGUGUCACUGGGAAAUGGACUGACCAACAUAAUGGACACUUCUAACUCAAUAUUUCGUAAUUGUUUUUAUCGUUUCUUUGAGAACGUCAUAUUUGGACUUUCACAUUCGGUAUCAUUUGCAAUGACACAAAGAUUGAUUGUUAAAAUUGUUUGUACAUAUAUUGUGCGCACGAUGUUUUUGGUGUGUUGCGCGAUCUUACCACUGCAAUAUUUGUCAGAAUAGUAAAAAAUAAAUUCAUAAGACCUUU